Long non-coding RNA from Macaca fascicularis (crab-eating macaque), 1561 nucleotides. The record is from Ensembl. Lineage: Eukaryota; Metazoa; Chordata; Mammalia; Primates; Cercopithecidae.
UUUUUGGACAUGUAAAAUUACUGCAUGUAAAAUGAAAUUGGUAUAUAGUUAUCUAAUGUUUUAAAACUUGAUUGUUUGUAAAGUAUUGGUCAUAUACAAUAUACAACAUAUUCCAGAUCUUGAAAUACAAAAACAUAGUGUUUAUACUCACAAAAAUAGAACACGAAGCUGUAGGGUACUGAAUCAUAUAAUUUUUUCCAGCUUAUAAAAAUAUAAACUAUUACCAUAAUUAUAUUCAUUAAUAAAAUGAAAAUGCAAGUUUAAGUUUUUGAAUGAAAGUAUGCUGUACUUCUCAACAUUCUCAUUAGUUACAUAGUUAUUAAUAUAUUUGUUUCUAGUGUCUGUUCACGUGAGCAUAAAAUAACCAGAUAACUAAGAGCUAAAGUUGAGAAGAGAGCUUAUUAACAUUCAUCUUGGCAUCACUGACAAAAAGUAAUAUCUAUUGUAUAUUAUUUUUUAGUUUCCUAGAGCUUCUUCAUUCAUGAGAUUAAGAUGAACUAUUGUAAGAUAUAAGAAGUGAGUUUGAGUCAUCAAGAGUACAUUGCAUUCAGAAUGGUUUUCAUGUUAAGCCAGUAUCAUUGCAUUUUAAUUUUUUCAAGUGUAUAAAUUAUUAAUUACACAUAUGUCACUGUGACUUUAAAAAGUGUUGUAUUCUCUAGAACUUCAUUUUCUUUAUCUACUCUGGAUGCCUGGAAGACCACUUAACUUAUACUCAUUAUUGUCUUUUUAUUUUCUCUAUUCUGGUGUUGUGUGUUCAGCAAUGAGGCUGGGAUUAUCUAAAGGCAGGCCUUUGUCUUCUACUCUGUCAUCAUCAUAAGUAGGAAAGAUUUGUUCUUUAUUUAUAAUCCCAUUCACAUAUGGAUAUCAAUUCAUAUAAAUAGUUGAAUUAGGUUGGGUUAAACUUCACUCUUUUAAGAUCUUAUAACUGUAUUUGAGUGGCUUCAAUUAAUUAUGACAAUUUUCUAUUUGAAUAUUAUUUCCCAAUUUAGGAUACCAAAUUGCAUGUAUUUUUCCUUAAUGUAUAUAUCUCCAAACAGAAAUUCUCUGUUUACCAUAUAACAAUAAUCGACCUUUUUACAUAAUUCCCAUUAUUUCCCAUAAUAAAGCUCUAUAUUUUUAUAGUGUUUUACAGUUUACACAGUCUUUCACUUAAUCAUUCACAAGCCUCUGAAACAGGAUAGUAGUUAACUCAAUUUUAAUCAUGAAGCUAUAAAAGUUCAGAUAAUGAGAAUGGCAUCGAGGGCACAGCAAAAAUGUGGCAAAACUGAGCUUCUGACCUAGAUUUUAUAACCACAGACCAGAGGUAAUUUCUGGUAUACCACACUGACACCAAUGCCCAGUAACAUUUCAUAACAAAUAAUUCACACUCUAUAUUCUGUGUUAACAAUGAGAUUAAAUCUACACAAUAAUAUGUGACAAUUUCUCAAAUAAUUCAGCUAAAUGUUCUUUCCUUAGCUACUGAAAUCCUUAUCCUAAUAUAAAUUAAAUGGUUACAGCAAAUAAGAUAUUUCUCCUUUCAUUCAGUACCAUAUUUUCUAGUCUUAUUGCCUAACAGUCACUU